RNAcentral lists this ribosomal RNA (1184 nucleotides) under metagenome. Its description in RNAcentral is "bacterial LSU rRNA". It matches the Rfam family "Bacterial large subunit ribosomal RNA", at positions 810 to 1980 of the family's 2925-position model. The record is from RNAcentral.
UAGGUAUAGGGGUGAAAAGCCAAUCGAACCAGGAGAUAGCUCGUUCUCUCCGAAAUGCAUUUAGGUGCAGCCUUGAUUGUUUAAAUAUGGGGGUAGAGCACUGAAUGGUCUAGCGGGCAUAUUGCUUAGCGAAAUCAAUCAAACUCCGAAUACCAUAUUUCAAGAGAUCAGGAGUGAGACUAUGGGUACUAAGAUCCAUGGUCAAAAGGGAAACAGCCCAGACCACCAACUAAGGUCCCAAAUUAUAUCUAAGUGGGAAAGGAGGUGGAGAUUCUGAAACAACCAGGAUGUUGGCUUAGAAGCAGCCAUACAUUUAAAGAGUGCGUAAUAGCUCACUGGUCGAGAGUCUCUGCGCCGACAAUGUAACGGGGCUAAGAUAUAAACCGAAGUUGUGGAGUAUACACGAUGUGUAGACUGGUAGGAGAGCGUUCCGUAGGCCGUUGAAGGAUAAGGGGUGACCCAAUCUGGAGGUAUCGGAAGUGAGAAUGCAGGAAUGAGUAGCGAGAAAGAGGGUGAGAAUCCCUCUCGCCGGAAAACCAAGGUUUCCAGAGUAAAGCUUGUCUUCUCUGGGUAAGCCGGGACCUAAGCCGAGGCUAGAUUGCGUAGGCGAAUGGAAAGCAGUUUAAUAUUACUGCGCCACUAUAAUUUGUUUGAGAGAUGGAGGGACGCAGAAGGGUAUGUACGCAGACUGUUGGAUAUGUCUGUAUAAGCAUGUAGGAUGGAACCGCAGGAAAAUCCACGGUUUUAGAUCUGAGGUGUGAUGUAUAUUGCUUGUAAUGAGCGAGAAUGUACAAAUCCCACGCUGCCGAGAAAAGCUUCUAUUGAGAAUUAUAGUGCCCGUACCGUAAACCGACACAGGUGGUUAGGAUGAGAAAUCUAAGGCGUACAGGCUAACUCUCGCUAAGGAACUCUGCAAAAUGGCCCCGUAACUUCGGGAGAAGGGGUGCCAUUAAAGGUGAUAAGUACAAGCGACUUUGAGCCCUUGAUGGCCGCAGUGAAGAGAUUCGAGCAACUGUUUAGCAAAAACACAGGUCUAUGCUAAGCUGAAAGGCGACGUAUAUGGGCUGACACCUGCCCAGUGCCGGAAGGUUAAGAGGAGGGUUCAGCGACUCAAAUUGAAGCCCCGGUGAACGGCGGCCGUAACUAUAACGGUCCUAAGGUAGCGAAAUUCCUUGUCGGGUAAG